UACGUAGGGGGCUAGCGUUGUCCGGAAUCAUUGGGCGUAAAGCGCGUGUAGGCGGUCCGGUAAGUCCGCUGUGAAAGUCGGGGGCUCAACCCUCGGAUGCCGGUGGAUACUGUCGGGCUUGAGUACGGAAGAGGCGAGUGGAAUUCCUGGUGUAGCGGUGGAAUGCGCAGAUAUCAGGAGGAACACCGAUGGCGAAGGCAGUUCUCUGGGCCGUAACUGACGCUGAGACGCGAAAGCGUGGGGAGCAAACAGG
RNAcentral lists this ribosomal RNA (253 nucleotides) under uncultured bacterium. RNAcentral describes it as "partial 16S ribosomal RNA". It matches the Rfam family "Bacterial small subunit ribosomal RNA", at positions 524 to 776 of the family's 1533-position model. The record is from RNAcentral.